Molecule: long non-coding RNA, 124 nt
Organism: Thalassophryne amazonica
Lineage: Eukaryota; Metazoa; Chordata; Actinopteri; Batrachoidiformes; Batrachoididae
Exons: 3
Source: RefSeq, a predicted model, not a curated record
GACAGAAGGGAAUGUGACAGAGGCCAGCAGGAGUCGCUAUGCAGUAGUAGUCAAUAGGCGUCACUCCCCCCCAACAGCUAAAGGAUGCUCUGGCGACUCAGCCUAGAACCUGGGUUUUUAGCUG